This 600-nucleotide unclassified non-coding RNA is filed under the name Hevea brasiliensis (rubber tree). The record is from RNAcentral. Lineage: Eukaryota; Viridiplantae; Streptophyta; Magnoliopsida; Malpighiales; Euphorbiaceae.
AGUGCGUCAACAGAAGAAUUCACCUUAUCAUCUAAUGAUUACAUAUCACCUUGCAUAAUGGAGAUGAAGAGAAUUCCAAAAUAUGCUUCGCUAGUUAUUGGGCACAAUGGCUUUGGGGAAUUCACUUUAUGGUAUGCUGCUCACAGGAUGUCAUUGGAAGUUAUUAUUUUGGCAAUAAAUGGAUCUAUAUUUACUCUAUUUCCUGGCUAGCAUUGCAGAAAACUUUACAGUUAUUUAAUUCUGAUAUCUCGAAAAAACUAAUUGCAUAGAAAAUCAGCCUUUUUCUAAGCAAGAUAAGAAAAUUGCCAUUUUCCUUUUGGCCCCCAUCCUCUUCGCCCCAAUCCUUUCACUUGGCAUGUCACUUGUUAAUUUCCCUUGUUAGCUUUUAUAAAUUUUAACUAGGUUUUUAAUAUAUAUUGUGUUCUAUAUCCUAAAAUUUGAACUUUUUUUUUUUUAAUUCCUCUUCAGUCCCAUUGGGAUUAAUAUAAUAAAUCUAUCUCUCAAAAGGAUAACGAUGUUAGGUUAUAGAUGAUAGGUUAUGUGACAUGAUUAAUUUUACUAAUACAUAAAAAGUUCAUUUUGACAUAAUUUUUGGAUUAU